This 499-nucleotide long non-coding RNA is filed under the name Monodelphis domestica (gray short-tailed opossum). RNAcentral describes it as "lncRNA (ENSMODG00000041958.1)". The record is from RNAcentral. Lineage: Eukaryota; Metazoa; Chordata; Mammalia; Didelphimorphia; Didelphidae.
AUCUCACCACUGAUGUUGGCUCAUAAUCUUCAAUUAUCUUCAUGUCAUUCCUUUUACAGCUGUUCAUUUUGAGCACAGCAAGAUGAGAUGAUCCACGGUCCCAAGAAGUGAUGCUUCUUGAUGCCUUUAGACACAUGAUGAAAACUACUCAUGUAUAAGCCAGCCUUGGGUACAAUGAUAGGCCAUCUGGGCCUUCCAGAUUCCACACAUAUGACCUGCUUCCAACCAGUGCUGACCAGCCCUUGGAAAUUCUAUGUAAGUUCUGAGAAUUUUCUCUGCAUUUAUUCGUCUCUUCAUAUUAAAGUAGCAUGUAUACUUCAGGUGUUGUGCCCCCUUUCUGCCAUUUCCAGAGGAAUUAAUAGGUUUGAAUUUAGGGCUAGCCAAUGAGGGGGAGACAUAUGUAUGGUGUGCAUAUAAGAUCACAGCAACUCCUUUCUGGAGUCUAGCACUGGCAUUGGUCUUGUGUGGUGGCAUUCUUCUUGAGUUUGUUUGUAUUUAU